Molecule: ribosomal RNA, 522 nt
Filed under: uncultured bacterium
Lineage: Bacteria
Description: bacterial SSU rRNA
Rfam family: Bacterial small subunit ribosomal RNA
Source: RNAcentral
CCAGAGAAUUUAGCAGAGAUGCUUUAGUGCCUUCGGGAACUCUGAGACAGGUGCUGCAUGGCUGUCGUCAGCUCGUGUUGUGAAAUGUUGGGUUAAGUCCCGCAACGAGCGCAAUCCUUAUCCUUUGUUGCCAGCACGUAAUGGUGGGAACUCAAAGGAGACUGCCGGUGAUAAACCGGAGGAAGGUGGGGAUGACGUCAAGUCAUCAUGGCCCUUACGAGUAGGGCUACACACGUGCUACAAUGGCGCAUACAAAGAGAAGCGACCUCGCGAGAGCAAGCGGACCUCAUAAAGUGCGUCGUAGUCCGGAUUGGAGUCUGCAACUCGACUCCAUGAAGUCGGAAUCGCUAGUAAUCGUAAAUCAGAAUGUUACGGUGAAUACGUUCCCGGGCCUUGUACACACCGCCCGUCACACCAUGGGAGUGGGUUGCAAAAGAAGUAGAUAGCUUAACCUUCGGGAGGGCGUUUACCACUUUGUGAUUCAUGACUGGGGUGAAGUCGUAACAAGGUAAGCGUAGUGCU